Molecule: transfer RNA, 75 nt
Filed under: Rhipicephalus microplus (southern cattle tick)
Lineage: Eukaryota; Metazoa; Arthropoda; Arachnida; Ixodida; Ixodidae
Description: tRNA-Lys
Rfam family: tRNA
About the family: Transfer RNA (tRNA) molecules are approximately 80 nucleotides in length.
Source: RNAcentral
GCCCGGCUAGCUUAGUCGGUAGAGCAUGAGACUUUUAAUCUCAGGGUCGUGGGUUCAAGCCCCACGUUGGGGGCU